Molecule: ribosomal RNA, 546 nt
Filed under: Triticum aestivum (bread wheat)
Lineage: Eukaryota; Viridiplantae; Streptophyta; Magnoliopsida; Poales; Poaceae
Description: partial small subunit ribosomal RNA
Source: RNAcentral
AAUUUCUCCUCCACUGUAAUCCUAAGAUCAACUGCAUGUGCCCUUGACAUCGCCAUCACCAACAUCUACGCCCCCUCUACCCAUGCCCUCAAACAGGCCUUCCUCGAUGAGCUUCUCUCCAUGACACAACCAGACGAUGCUCCUUGGCUCGUUAUUGGCGACUUUAAUCUCCUAUGCUUCCCCUCAGACAAAAACAACUCCACCUUUCGACGAUCAGAAGCUAACGCUUUCAACAACGUUAUCGACACCCUAGCCCUCAUUGAUCUGCCACUCCUCGACCGACAAUUUACGUGGUCUAACAACCGAUCCUCGCCCACUUUGGAAAGAAUCGAUCGUGCAUUUUUUAAUCUCGCUUGGGCUGAUGCUUUCCCUAACACCUCUUUGUCCUCUCUAACACGUUUCACCUCUGACCAUGUUCCGCUGCUCGUACACGUCACCACUACGAUUCCACGCUCUAACUUUUCAAAUUCGAGCCUGGUUGGUCCAAAUUUCGCCCAUGCAACGCCAUCGUCACAAGGUGCUGCUCACCCUCGCCUUCCCCUUUAA